GAUGGUAUAGCUCAAGUGGUAGAGUGCAUGCUUAGCAUGCAUGAGGUCCUGGGUUCAAUCCCCAGUACCUCCU
RNAcentral lists this transfer RNA (73 nucleotides) under Camelus bactrianus (Bactrian camel). It matches the Rfam family "tRNA". Rfam says of the family: Transfer RNA (tRNA) molecules are approximately 80 nucleotides in length. The record is from Rfam by way of RNAcentral. RNAcentral also lists the same sequence under 2 other names. Lineage: Eukaryota; Metazoa; Chordata; Mammalia; Artiodactyla; Camelidae.